GAAAUAUGUUAGAGAACCAAAUAGAUCCUGCAGUAAGAGAAGAUCAGAUUGCUGAUAUAAUCUGUUAUCAAGCAGUUGAGCAUCCGCAAUCAAAACAAUAGAUGGAAUGGGGACAGGAGGAGUGAUACAUGAGCUGAAAUGAACAGAGAGUGCAGACAGAGGUGGCUUGAGAAACAGCAGCACGUAAUGUGGUUUGGCAGGACAGUCCCAGAGGAACUCAUCUGCUUGGCUCAGCUUAGAGGAGGUUUUAGCAAGGUACACACUAACCAUCGAUGCUUCUCUACUCUGAAGUGAAACCUCUGUAAAUGAAGAUGUUAGAAGCAAGAAAACGUGUUUCUGAUAUCUCUUGGCAUGAGCGACAUAUGGGUUCAAGCUGAAAUGAUGGAGCAUCCAUUCACUUAGCAAAACAAAAAUAUGCCUUGGCACUCUGCUCUUCUCUGCUACUAUUCCAGCCAAAUUUCAAUUGAAAGAGCGGUGGGUUAUUUUGUCAUUGACUAUGGCAACAGUAUUUCAUCUGGAUGAGAUUCUUCAUGAAGUGUGGCACACAGAGUACCAGCAACAAUUAGAAAGAUGAUAUUCCUCUUGCAGUGCUCUCUACUGCCAAAGUUUUUAAUGUUGCAGGUCAAGACACCAAUAAGUAGAAAAGGUUGGUGGAAAUAUCUGAAAACGUUCAAAAACAAACAAAAAACCCUACCACCUACCUAUAUUGAAUGAGUUCUUUAUGUCCUUUCUAUGUUUUUCUUCUUUCAAGUUUUCUGGUUGUUAUUUUUCUUUUUAAAAAAUCAAAAAUCUGUGUUUUUUUUUUUUUGUUUUGUUUUGUUUUUUGUUUUUAAAUCAUCUUUCCAAAAUUUCUGCUGUACAUGUUUAUCUGGUUGAGCUUGUGUAGCAUCCAUUCUAUUCUAGUUCUUAAAUGUAGAGAUAACAAUUUGUCUGCCUCAUGAAACCAAUAAGUAACUAGGGAAAAGAAAAAAAAAAUCAAAGAUAUUAUUUCCUUAAAGACUUUUGCCCAAGUGGUCCUCAUAAAAAUAGGUAAAGUCUCUGAAAGACUAAUACAUGUUCCAUUUUUUGUCGUAUCUGAUAAGGCACUAAGUGUUUGCUAAAAGUUCCCCUCUUCAGAGUGCAAAUCUCAUUGGAAAAAUGCUUUUCCAUCUUAUGUACACCAAGACAAAAACUCCGUAAGAAUCAGAAGUCAUGAGAACAGAGCUGAGCCUGGGUCAGGGCAUGGUUCGUCUUUACAAGUGUGAAGGCUUACAGUAGACACCUGCAGCUCAGUUGUCAUUUUGGGCUCCUUAUUUUAGUCUUUGGAGAAAGACAGGCACUUCUAGGGUCUGGCUUCCUUAAUUUAGAUGAAGUCAGAAAUUCAAGAUAGGUGAGGUGAGUCAUGUCCCAGAAGUGCCUGUCUUUGCUGACAGUAAAGCAAGUGAAGAAAAUAUUAGACCAGUUGUAGCUUUCUAUUGUAUAACUGAGAUGAAUUCCAACCUUUGGAGAAAAGAGAUUUUCCACUAUUGAGGGAUGUUUUCAUUUAAAAAUAUUAACUGCAUCAUGCAAAUGAAGUAUAGAUUGUGCAUGUUUUAUAUCCAAGCUAAGAAAGAUGGAGUUAAAAAUUGCAUUGAAUGCAGGCAGCUGCCUAAUAACUCCAACUAACAUGUCACGUUUGGAACGUAGAAACAUGACAGGUGAACACAUGCAAGCCGUUGUACUCAGUGCCAUUAACUCCUAGAGGAUAAAUGAAAUUUAAUAUUGAAUGUACCAAUAAGAAAAAAAUCCUGCAGAUAUUUUUAUAUCUACCAUCUCGAUUAUUGUUAGUGCUGACUCCCAAAGCUGCUCUGCAUAUUUUUUCCCCUACCUGUCUCCUGUAAAAAGAGAGGCUUCACUGGAAAUUUUAAGAAACAUCUGAGAGAUCGUGAUUCUGUGUCAGUGUAUUUGUUGUAUCAGUUGGUGGUGCUUGUUGUUGAGAAACUGUUUGUACUCAAGCUUGGAGUUGGACUUUUUUUUUAGUAAUCUGUUUAUUUAUUUUUUUUUUUCCCAAGGAAUAGAACAGUUUGUGUAGAAAAAGAAAAGGUUAGUCAGUAUGAUUUUAUAAUCCUCCAGUUAUUUAACAAACCAAUUAGAAUGAUGACUUGGCAAAACCAACUUUAAAGUGAAUUAAGACUAUGCCCCAGAUAUAGCCCAUGCUUAUACAAUUAUUUUUUUAAAGAGCUUACAUCAGCUUUAAACUAAUCUAUGAUUCGAGAAUUAAAACGUAAGAAGUAAUAAAAAUUUUUGAAACAGAAAAGAUCAGGAAAGAACAAUAGUCCUAGAUGAAUUUUUUUCCUUUCUUCAGCUUCAAAUUUAUGAUAGAAUUAGGCUUAAUUUAGUUUAGCAGACAGCAUUUCCUCAUUGUAAUUUAGAAAGAAAAGAACAUGCUGAAAAAGAAGCAAGCAUUCUCUAUUUGCCAUCUAAGUUUAUCUGGAAAUAAUGACUAUAUACUUUGAAAGGUUUAUGUUCUGUUCUAUGUUGUGUCUACAGUGGGAAUUUAGAGCAUGCUAGGUGAAAAAAUUAUGCUGACCAGGCCCUUAACUUCUCAGUCUUGUCCUUUUUAUUUUCCAGUGACCGAACAUGUCUACAAGGAAGCUUAUUUUAUGCCAAAAGUAAAGUUGCCUCACACUUGAUGCAGCUUGGGUUAAUGUGUUUUGUAGAAAAGCAAACACUUUUACAAUUUUAACAUUUCAAAUUAGCUUUGAAAAUGUGCUUGCAAACUAGGAAAGUAAAAUUGUAAAGCCGAGCAGUUGGUUACAAAAAUUCUUCCAAAUGUUCCUUUGCUGUUUGUCACUAGUCCCCACUAAAUUGUGAAAAAUUAGAAGGUGCUGAUUAUUAAAGGCACAAGACAUUUUAUUUCAA
Molecule: long non-coding RNA, 2880 nt
Organism: Anas platyrhynchos (mallard)
Lineage: Eukaryota; Metazoa; Chordata; Aves; Anseriformes; Anatidae
Source: RefSeq, a predicted model, not a curated record